This 2266-nucleotide long non-coding RNA is filed under the name Homo sapiens (human). RNAcentral describes it as "HSALNT0395375". The record is from RNAcentral. Lineage: Eukaryota; Metazoa; Chordata; Mammalia; Primates; Hominidae.
GGCGCAGGCAGCAAACUUUGGCGGCGUCCGCGCGGCGCCGUCUCCGCCGGCGCGCCGGGCUCGCCCCUUUAUAGAGUGUCUGCGCCGCCGCCCGCGCCCCCCCCGCCGCCGCCGCCGGGCGGCCCCUCCCGGAGCGAGCGGCCGCGGGCAGGGCUCCGACCCGGCGCCUUUGUCUCGCCCGGGCCGCUCGGGCGCCGCGCCUCCUGUUCCGGGCGCGCGGGGUCGGCCGGCCGCCUUCGCUGCUCCGCCGCGGCUCUCAGCGCCGCUCAGCGCGGCGGGCCCGCCCGGGCUCAGGUGCCCCCCGCUCUCCGGACCUUCUCGCCCGGCCCCGCGUCCCCUCCGCGGGCUUCCCCCGGCGGCCGGCCGGGCUCGGAGGCUCGCGGCCGGAGCGGAGCGGAGUGCGCACGCCGGGGUGGCAGGACUUCGGCAAGACCAACUUUCCGUGGUCCUGUCUGGUGUGAACCGUCAGCACAGAUGGCCUCCUGGAGCUUCCCCGAGUCGUUCGCUGGGGGAAGCGGGCGGUGAGCGGCCAGCCCGGGCGCUCCGCAGGCCGCGAGCUCCCGGCAGGGCUGGUGGCGGGGGUCCGCCUGGGGGAGGAAUCCCCGCCUGCUCCAUCGGACCCGGCCUGGCGCGGCUCGCGGCGCUCGGCGGGCUCCCUUCCAUUCUAGAAUCUUCCCGCUUGCUUCCCAGCCCGCGUUCUUCCGCCUGCCUUUAAUUGUAAUUUACAGGAUUAAGGAGUUUGGGGAAGUCGCAGAGCUGCAGCGGAAAGGCAGGGGUCUGAGACUACUUUUGAGAAGAGAAACAACGCAAAACGAUCGCUGGAGGGCCAGAGCCCUGGUCGAAGGUGCCCUAGCUUUUAUGACCUGGUUAAUUGUGUCUCCUUUUUAUUUUUAUUUUUUUCCUUACCACUACUACUACUACUACUUUUAUUUUUUUUUAACCGAUACACUUUGGAGAGAAGAAGCAGACACAGGUUCCCACGGCGUCUGACGCCUGCGGAGCAAGUCCAGAGCCAGCUGGACUCGCAGCCUCUGGCCCGGCGGCACCAACUCCUCACUGGGUCAUUUUGAGCGCGCUGUGCCCACCUUUUCUGUUGCGUGUGGACGUGGGGAGGAUCUUCUAAGUCCCUCCAACGAAGGCAAGUGUGAGACUCUGGCCCUUUAUUUGUAAGAAGCAAGCCUUCAGAUUGCAGAAGUGUCGCGCGGGUCGCCGUGCGUUGCGCGAGUGGGAAGAUGGAGGAGGCCGGCACGCUGCUUUCGUGGACGCAAGUGAACCGGGCGUGAAGGCAGGGUGCGAGCUCUGCCCUUGGCCCAGCCCUGCGUGGGCGCCGUCCCAGAUUCCGGGCGGUGCGGGGUGCAGAGAUCUGGAGAGACUUGCGGGCUCCCCAGCGCAGGCUGCUCUGGGAUUUCGUUGGAAGAUCCGGCAGAGCCUUGGAGGAGAGGGCCCGGGAGGCUGUGUGUGCAGCGGAAACUUGUACGAAUGCCCCCACAGCGGAAAUGGUGCGCACGAGUAAUUUCUGCGGUGCACCCUUUUAAAAAUUGACAAGUGAACAAGAUCAAUUUUUUAAGAAAGCAAAGGUAGAAAACAAAAGGCGUGCGACUUCUUGACUGGCUUGUUCCCGCCUUUCUUCCUUCUCUAUACUCAGAUCAGAAACUUUUCUUUAAUUGCUCUUAUUCAGUGCGACAACUUUUAAUAAAAGCAUUUGCAUUUUAAGCCUGAGUUGCAACCAUAGAUUUAUUGCGAAGUGACAACGUGUCUAUGGAAUAUUUUCGCAGAUGAGACAGGACAUGCGCUCUAGUCGUGCCCAGAUUAAAGCGACGCUGGGCCAUGUGCCUGUGUAGUGCAGACUCGGAGGGGCACACACAUACUCGUCACCACAUGACCACUGUCUAUUAAUAUUGUCAUACCUAAACACUCGCAAAAACAAAAGUUGCUUUUCUUCCCUGUAAUUAAAUCUAAUUUGUUAAUUGUCUUUCCUCUUGCAAUGUUGUUUUCAUCUUGAGGUGACACAUUAUUAUUUUGUCUAAUAUUAUUUACAAAUUAAUGCUGUAUAUUUUACAUUAGUGAAACAUAUAAUUAGGUGUUUGGUUCAAUCGGUAUCAUUCAGAUAAAACAAAGCCUAUCUGCAAGAUUGAUUGGAAGUGGAGUAGUUGGUUCUAAUUUACCAUCACAGUCACAGUUUAUUGAAGCUACCUGGCCCCAGAUUCACAGAAGCUAGUUUUACCUAAGGUGCAUUUGAUGCUUUGUUUACAAGUGUUUAUUUUCC